RNAcentral lists this transfer RNA (90 nucleotides) under Pseudomonadota bacterium. Its description in RNAcentral is "tRNA-Ser". It matches the Rfam family "tRNA". From Rfam's summary of the family: Transfer RNA (tRNA) molecules are approximately 80 nucleotides in length. Their secondary structure includes four short double-helical elements and three loops (D, anti-codon, and T loops). Further hydrogen bonds mediate the characteristic L-shaped molecular structure. tRNAs have two regions of fundamental functional importance: the anti-codon, which is responsible for specific mRNA codon recognition, and the 3' end, to which the tRNAs corresponding amino acid is attached (by aminoacyl-tRNA synthetases). tRNAs cope with the degeneracy of the genetic code in two manners: having more than one tRNA (with a specific anti-codon) for a particular amino acid; and 'wobble' base-pairing, i.e. permitting non-standard base-pairing at the 3rd anti-codon position. RNAcentral also lists the same sequence under 2 other names. The record is from RNAcentral. Lineage: Bacteria; Pseudomonadati; Pseudomonadota.
GGAGGGAUGGCUGAGUGGCCGAAAGCGGCGGUCUUGAAAACCGUUGGACGUUCACGCGUCCCGUGGGUUCGAAUCCUACUCCCUCCGCCA